This is a non-coding RNA of Schizosaccharomyces pombe (fission yeast), 663 nucleotides long. The record is from the annotation of a GenBank genome assembly. NCBI's taxonomy places the organism in Eukaryota, Fungi, Ascomycota, Schizosaccharomycetes, Schizosaccharomycetales, Schizosaccharomycetaceae.
AAGAAUAUUAGUUUUGUUCCAAAAACCCAAUUAAAAUUUUUAUGAAAGUAAACAACACGAGAAUAGGUAUAGAUGUGAAUUAAAGAAAAUGAAACAAAACAAAGGACAAGGAAGUAUGUCUCAAAGACUAUUGCUUAAAAAUAAUAACUGUUUGAAUAAGUUCGAUAGCCAAGGCGGUUUAAUUCUUCGCAAUUAGGUAAACGCAAUUCUUUAGCCUUCUUCAGUGCCUCUUUAUCAGGAAAGAACCAUCCUUGAGCUCUUCGAAUUUCGUCUUCUUUAAUUUGUUGCUCGCGCAAACAAGCAUUAUGGACGUUUUGAGUAUACGUAUGCUCGACUUUUUCGUUGAGUCUUCUUAUAUCUCUUGAACUUAGCUUAUCCAAAUCCUUUUGGCUCAUAUAGUAUGGAAUGUUAUGCUUGGCAGUAGUACGAGGAACAGUGUAUUUAUAGUUUUGUUGAAAUGAAUAGCGCGUAUUAACCGACGUACUAUCUGACCAACUAAAGUUGGACAAAAAGGCAAAAAGGAUUACCACUAUCAAAGGUAGCAACUGAUAAAAUAUGCUCUUUGGGGGCAUGUCCUGGGCCUGCUGACGACGUGCAAAAUUCCUUGGACGGCCGCCAAACUGAUGAACUCGAAUGCCAGGUCCACCACCGAAGAAAAAUGUU